CAAGUUGAAAAAUGGUGUCUAAAUAUUAUCAGCAGGACGAGGGAGAUAUAACCCUCACAAGAUGCAGAAUUUAUCCUCACAGAUUUGUAUCUUGACCGUAGUU
Molecule: non-coding RNA, 103 nt
Filed under: unclassified sequences
Also listed under: 1 other name
Description: Methylobacterium-1 RNA
Rfam family: Methylobacterium-1 RNA
Source: RNAcentral